Peromyscus maniculatus bairdii (prairie deer mouse) is the source of this 332-nucleotide non-coding RNA. Lineage: Eukaryota; Metazoa; Chordata; Mammalia; Rodentia; Cricetidae. The record is from RefSeq and is a predicted model, not a curated record.
CAGGAAUUGGAUAUGGGAUCAGGUUUUGGGAAGCGGCACAGGUACUGGAUUUGGGUACAGGUAAUGGAUAUGGGUACAGGUCUUGGUAUGGAUUCAGGAGUUGGAUAUGGGUUCAGGUUUUGGGAAUGGGUACAGGUUGUGGUUAUGGGUACAGGUAAUGGAUGUGGGUACAGGUAUUGGAUAUGGGUACAGGUCUUGGUAUGGGUUCAGGAGUUGGAUAUGGGUUCAGGUUUUGGGAAUGGGUUCAGAUUUUUCGAAUGGGUACAGGCUGUGGUUAUGGGUACAGGUAUCGGAUAUGGGUACAGGUUUUGACAUGGGUUCAGGAGUUGGAU